This 620-nucleotide long non-coding RNA is filed under the name Monodelphis domestica (gray short-tailed opossum). Its description in RNAcentral is "lncRNA (ENSMODG00000039067.1)". The record is from RNAcentral. Lineage: Eukaryota; Metazoa; Chordata; Mammalia; Didelphimorphia; Didelphidae.
AAAAAUGGGAGUAAAAUAUUUAUUUAUAUAAGCCCUCACAUUAAGUAUUCGUACACAGCUACAUAUAUACAUUGAGGUUUCAAAGUAUAGUCAUUGUCAAUUUUUUUAAAUUUCUAAUUUCAAAAUUGUUUUCUUCCCAUUUUAUUCGUGUUCUUAUAGGUUGGAAAAGAGGAAAAAAGAGAAAUAUUGGUAGAAAAAGAGGAAAUUCCUUAAUGACUUCAACUUCAAAACUUAGAUCUGCAACAUUUUCUGCUCAAAAAGUGUGGCUUUUGAGAACCCAACAUCACCUCCAUCCCACAAUGAAGCAUUAGAGUCAGACUUGAAGGAGAGUAUUUAUAUCUGACAUCAGUAUCUAGAAUACAACUGUCACAAGAGAAUUAAAAAGUAUUAUACAAAGUAUGAUGGAGUCUCACAUGGUGACUGUGAACAUGUGGUAAUAGGGGACUAAUUGAGGAACUCUAAAAAACUGCAUAGAAGAUGGAAUCAAAGAGUUUUAUGCCAAGAGCAGAAGAUGGGCUGAUCAGAUGGCAAGGUUGAAGACUAACAGAGAGACAACCCUACUGGUAACUUGAAGUGUCAGGAAAAAUAAAGUAAGUCUUCUAAUAUGUUGAAUUAAAAUC